GACGAACCGUGCGAACGUUGUUCGGAAUCAUUGGGCUUAAAGGGCGCGUAGGCGGGCCCGCAAGUCAGGGGUGAAAUCCCACGGCUCAACCGUGGAAGUGCCUCUGAUACUGCGGGCCUCGAGGGGGGUAGGGGCGUGCGGAACUUCCGGUGGAGCGGUGAAAUGCGUAGAUAUCGGAAGGAACACCGGUGGCGAAGGCGGGUCUCUGGGCCGUUACUGACGCUGAGGAGCGAAAGCGUGGGGAGCGAACAGG
RNAcentral lists this ribosomal RNA (253 nucleotides) under uncultured bacterium. RNAcentral's name for it is "partial 16S ribosomal RNA". It matches the Rfam family "Bacterial small subunit ribosomal RNA", at positions 524 to 776 of the family's 1533-position model. The record is from RNAcentral.